This 1140-nucleotide ribosomal RNA is filed under the name uncultured fungus. RNAcentral describes it as "eukaryotic LSU rRNA". The stretch from base 511 to 1140 matches the Rfam family "Eukaryotic large subunit ribosomal RNA", at positions 1 to 649 of the family's 3401-position model. Lineage: Eukaryota; Fungi. The record is from RNAcentral.
AAGUCGUAACAAGGUUUCCGUAGGUGAACCUGCGGAAGGAUCAUUACAGAGAAAAUGCCCCUCGGGGUAGAUCUCCCACCCUUUGUUUACAUGUCUCUGUUGCUUUGGCGGGUCCGUCUACUGACCACCGGCCACGGCUGGUCUGCGCCCGCCAGAGGACCCAAAACUCUUAUUUAACGUCGUCUGAACUAUUAUAAUAUAAUUUAAAACUUUCAACAACGGAUCUCUUGGUUCUGGCAUCGAUGAAGAACGCAGCGAAAUGCGAUAAGUAAUGUGAAUUGCAGAAUUCAGUGAAUCAUCGAAUCUUUGAACGCACAUUGCACCCUCUGGUAUUCCGGAGGGUAUGCCUGUUCGAGCGUCAUUACAACCCUCAAGCUCUGCUUGGUAUUGGAAUAGAAUAGAUAUUCAUUCUCAAAAUCAGUGGCGGUGCCGUCUGGCUUCCAGCGUAGUAAUUUUCUCGCUGUGGAAACCCAGGUGUGCGCUCGCCAGCAACCCAUAUCAUUCUAAAGUUGACCUCGGAUCAGGUAGGGAUACCCGCUGAACUUAAGCAUAUCAAUAAGCGGAGGAAAAGAAACCAACAGGGAUUGCCUCAGUAACGGCGAGUGAAGCGGCAACAGCUCAAAUUUGAAAUCUGGCCUUCUGGCCCGAGUUGUAAUUUGUAGAGGAUGCUUCGAACGUGGUCUGGUCUAAGUUCCUUGGAACAGGACGUCAUAGAGGGUGAGAAUCCCGUAUGCGACUAGGUGCCUUAGUUCAUGUGAAGCUCCUUCGACGAGUCGAGUUGUUUGGGAAUGCAGCUCAAAAUGGGUGGUAUAUUUCAUCUAAAGCUAAAUAUUGGCCAGAGACCGAUAGCGCACAAGUAGAGUGAUCGAAAGAUGAAAAGCACUUUGGAAAGAGAGUUAAACAGUACGUGAAAUUGUUGAAAGGGAAGCGCUUGCAACCAGACUUGCAUGUAGUUGAUCAUCCGGUGUUCUCACCGGUGCACUCGAUUACGUUCAGGCCAGCAUCGGUUUCGGUGGUUGGAUAAAGGCUCUGGGAAUGUAGCUUCUUUCGGGGAGUGUUAUAGCCCAAGGUGCAAUGCAACCUACCGGGACCGAGGACCGCGCUUCGGCUAGGAUGCUGGCGUAAUGGUUGUAAGUGACC